Molecule: ribosomal RNA, 253 nt
Filed under: uncultured bacterium
Lineage: Bacteria
Description: partial 16S ribosomal RNA
Rfam family: Bacterial small subunit ribosomal RNA
Source: RNAcentral
UACGUAGGGUGCAAGCGUUAAUCGGAAUUACUGGGCGUAAAGCGUGCGCAGGCGGCUUUGCAAGACAGAUGUGAAAUCCCCGGGCUUAACUUGGGAAUUGCGCUCGAAACUACGUGGCUCGAGUGUGGCAGAGGAAGGUGGAAUUCCACGUGUAGCGGUGAAAUGCGUAGAGAUGUGGAGGAACACCGAUGGCGAAGGCAGCCUUCUGGGCCAACACUGACGCUCAUGCACGAAAGCGUGGGGAGCAAACAGG